Molecule: ribosomal RNA, 914 nt
Filed under: uncultured prokaryote
Description: bacterial SSU rRNA
Rfam family: Bacterial small subunit ribosomal RNA
Source: RNAcentral
CGGAGGGUGCAAGCGUUAAUCGGAAUUACUGGGCGUAAAGCGUGCGUAGGUGGUUUGUUAAGUUAGAUGUGAAAGCCCUGGGCUCAACCUAGGAACUGCAUUUAAAACUGGCAAACUAGAGUAUAGGAGAGGAAAGUGGAAUUUCAGGUGUAGCGGUGAAAUGCGUAGAUAUCUGAAGGAACAUCAAUGGCGAAGGCAGCUUUCUGGACUAAUACUGACACUGAGGUACGAAAGCGUGGGUAGCAAACAGGAUUAGAUACCCUGGUAGUCCACGCCGUAAACGAUGACAACUAGCCGUUGGGAGGAUUUACCUCUUAGUGGCGAAGCUAACGCGUUAAGUUGUCCGCCUGGGGAGUACGGCCGCAAGGUUAAAACUCAAAGGAAUUGACGGGGACCCGCACAAGCGGUGGAGCAUGUGGUUUAAUUCGAUGCAACGCGAAGAACCUUACCUGGUCUUGACAUACACGGAACUUUCCAGAGAUGGAUUGGUGCCUUCGGGAACCGUGAUACAGGUGCUGCAUGGCUGUCGUCAGCUCGUGUCGUGAGAUGUUGGGUUAAGUCCCGUAACGAGCGCAACCCUUAUCCUUAUUUGCCAGCACAUCAUGGUGGGAACUAUAAGGAGACUGCCGGUGAUAAACCGGAGGAAGGCGGGGACGACGUCAAGUCAUCAUGGCCCUUACGACCAGGGCUACACACGUGCUACAAUGGGAAGGACAAAGGGUCGCAACCUCGCGAGAGCAAGCUAAUCUCAUAAACCUUUUCGUAGUCCGGAUCGGAGUCUGCAACUCGACUCCGUGAAGUCGGAAUCGCUAGUAAUCGUAGAUCAGAACGCUACGGUGAAUACGUUCCCGGGUCUUGUACACACCGCCCGUCAUACCAUGGGAGUGGGUUGCACCAGAAGUAGCUAGUCUAAC